UACGUAGGCAGCAAGCGUUGUUCGGAGUUACUGGGCGUAAAGGGUGUGUAGGCGGCUCUCUAAGUUUGGUGUGAAAUCUCCCGGCUCAACUGGGAGGGUGCGCCGAAUACUGAAGGGCUAGAGUGCGGGAGAGGAGAGUGGAAUUCCUGGUGUAGCGGUGAAAUGCGUAGAUAUCAGGAGGAACACCGGUGGUGUAGACGGCUCUCUGGACCGUAACUGACGCUGAGACACGAAAGCGUGGGUAGCAAACAGG
Molecule: ribosomal RNA, 253 nt
Filed under: uncultured bacterium
Lineage: Bacteria
Description: partial 16S ribosomal RNA
Rfam family: Bacterial small subunit ribosomal RNA
Source: RNAcentral